UACGUAGGGGGCAAGCGUUGUCCGGAAUCAUUGGGCGUAAAGCGCGCGUAGGCGGCCCGGUAAGUCCGCUCUGAAAGUCCAGGGCUCAACCCUGGAAAGCGGGUGGAUACUGCCGGGCUAGAAUCCGGAAGAGGCGAGUGGAAUUCCUGGUGUAGCGGUGGAAUGCGCAGAUAUCAGGAGGUACACCAAUAGCGAAGGCAGCUCGCUGGGACGGUAUUGACGCUAAGGCGCGAAAGCGUGGGGAGCAAACAGG
This 253-nucleotide ribosomal RNA is filed under the name uncultured bacterium. RNAcentral describes it as "partial 16S ribosomal RNA". It matches the Rfam family "Bacterial small subunit ribosomal RNA", at positions 524 to 776 of the family's 1533-position model. The record is from RNAcentral.